Long non-coding RNA from Musca domestica (house fly), 1872 nucleotides. RefSeq lists it as uncharacterized. Lineage: Eukaryota; Metazoa; Arthropoda; Insecta; Diptera; Muscidae. The transcript is spliced from 3 exons. The record is from RefSeq and is a predicted model, not a curated record.
UAAACAACCCAGCAGUCCGCUGGCCAUUACAAUUUUAUACCCAUUUGGAUGCUGUUUUGUCAAUAGGAAAAAAUAAAAUAACAGUGGUUUAUAGCAUACAACUAGCAUCCGAUUUGGAUGAGUCGCGUUGCUAUUACAUUGUGGAACAAAAUCCAUAUUAGAAUUAAAGAACAAAACAAAAUAUAAUAAAAUGUGUCCAUCGCACUUGCAUCUGAAUCGGAUGCCUUUGUAUUGUUUUGUAAAGUUUCUUUGUGUGUGUUUUUGCAGCCGGUGUUGUACCGUUGUUCAUUUUUGAUGCUUCUUUCUUUUUUAAAGCAAAAUUUUAUUCUGUGAAGAGUUUUUGAAAGUGCAAGUUGUGAAUAUUGAAAAAAGUUAAUAAAAUAAAUUAAUAAAAUAAGAAUAUAGUAAGUGUUGUGUGUUAAAUAAGUUAAAUAAAAUGUCAGGAUUCAGUAGGAUAAAUUUAAGAAGAUUAAAGAAAGUGGAAUCAGACAAUUUAAAAAGAAAUGCACAGUUCAGGGCUGACUGUUUGGAAAACAAUGAUAUUGUACUAAAUGAGCAGAUUCCAUGCAUUCCAAAAUUGUAGAAGAUUUUGGAAAAUAUGUUAGUAUCAUAAAAAUUGUAAUUUCACCAGAUGGCCUUCUGCAAGAUUAUUGACAUUUCUAUAAUAUUAUCUUACAACUAUGAUGGUACCCAAAAUAAAAAGGCUUUUAAGGAAUAUAAACUUUUAAACAUGGUCAUUUUCGAAGCUGUCAUAUGUGAAGGAUUCAAUGAACAGGAUUACGCCAAAAAAAAUUAGAAAUUGUUUCAAAUUCCCUAAGGCCAGAAACUUCCGAACAAUGUCCUACAAUAAAAAACUGGAAAAAUUUAAUUUUUCCUUUAGUUUAAGCCUUGUUUCUCCCACGUCUUUUGAAAAAGUUUUAUGAAUUUUUUUAUGCAUUAUUUCUAAUUACAAUAAGAAUAUUUUAUUGUUGAAAACACUGUUCUAUAAUACGAAUAUUUUAAUAAAAAACAGCUGAAAUGUAAGUUCCACAAUCUUAAAUGUUGAUGGAAUCGGACCCAUCCAACCUUCGCUUACAAUGUUGAUAGAUUUCGGACCCAUCCUACAUUCGCUUACGUUGUUGGUCGACUUCGGACCCAUCCAACAUUCACUUACAUUGUCGGUAGAUUUCGGACUCGUCUGACGGCCUAGGCCAUCGCUGUGUAAAUGUAAAUAGAAAAUGUAUACAGGCUUUGGAUGGGUCGCACCUACAUUGUCAUUGGUCUCAGAUGGAAGAUGUAUGUGCUAAAAAAUCCGCUGGGAAUUUGGUCGCAUCGAGCCGGAUUUGCCAUGUUGAGAAGUUUGCUGGCUAUUAAUUGCUGUUUUUUGUUUUCUUUUUGCAAAAGAAUCAACUCCAAAACAUACAUCCCCCUUCAUAAAUCGCACCACCUCAUCAACAUCAUCUUUUUUCAUCAAAAUCAAAAAAGGUCCGUAAGUUUAGUGAAAUUUGUUAUUGUGAGCUUAGAGUGCUAUUUUUCUCUAAAAAAAAAAAAAACAAGUGAAAAGUGUUAGUUUUUGUUUGCUUCGCGGCACUGGUCGCCUUUGUUUUACCCUAAUUCGCGGUAUCUUUAAAUAUACAGUCCACAACAAUUUUAUUUUGCCGAAAAAUCUAUUAAAGAUUUCUUAAAAUCGAGAUUUAUUCGCAUUAUUUUCCAUUUUAUUGCGAAAUAAUCGAAUUUCCCGGUUAAAUUGUGUUUAAUAAUUCACAUUUAUUAGAAAACAUAUAUUUUUGUUUAGAAAAUAAUAUGCCGCUGUGGUGUGCAUAAUUUCGUGUUCGGUUAUUGCAAUAUUCACCACACAUUUCUGCAUUGUCGAGUGAUCUCUUUUACAUCUCA